GACUAGUGUGGUGGAUCACUCGGCUCGUGCGUCGAUGAAGAGUGCAGCCAACUGUGUGAAAUAAUGUGAACUGCAUACUGCUUUGAACAUCGACAUCUUGAACGCAUAUUGCGGCUACGGGAUAU
This 125-nucleotide ribosomal RNA is filed under the name Trichobilharzia regenti. RNAcentral's name for it is "5.8S ribosomal RNA". It matches the Rfam family "5.8S ribosomal RNA", at positions 1 to 127 of the family's 154-position model. From Rfam's summary of the family: 5.8S ribosomal RNA (5.8S rRNA) is a component of the large subunit of the eukaryotic ribosome. It is transcribed by RNA polymerase I as part of the 45S precursor that also contains 18S and 28S rRNA. The record is from Rfam by way of RNAcentral. Lineage: Eukaryota; Metazoa; Platyhelminthes; Trematoda; Strigeidida; Schistosomatidae.